RNAcentral lists this signal recognition particle RNA (327 nucleotides) under Candidatus Bathyarchaeota archaeon. Its description in RNAcentral is "signal recognition particle sRNA". It matches the Rfam family "Archaeal signal recognition particle RNA". The record is from RNAcentral. Lineage: Archaea; Thermoproteati; Candidatus Bathyarchaeota.
UGGCGGGCCUUAGGCGGGGGGCUAGGGGUCCUCUGAAAGGCUUUGCCUGACCAUAAAUCCUCUAUACGAUGGGCUAACAGCUGAGGCUGAGGUGUCAAAGAGCGUGAGGCUCUGCCUAUCCUUGCAAUGAAUAUCCGUCCCUUGGGGCUGGCGGUCACGCGGCUGUCUCUGUAGGGAGGCUGUUUCCGUGUUUGUUAGGCGAACCUGGCCAGGACCGGGAGGGAGCAACCUAAGUCUAAACGUUUGGCGCUCAAGGGGGUGCGGAUACGAGACAAGAGUAGGUGUGAGCCUGGCGAAAACUGGGCAUCGAAUCUCAGUGACCCGUCA